Molecule: ribosomal RNA, 408 nt
Filed under: uncultured bacterium
Lineage: Bacteria
Description: partial 16S ribosomal RNA
Rfam family: Bacterial small subunit ribosomal RNA
Source: RNAcentral
GACGAACGCUGGCGGCGUGCUUAACACAUGCAAGUCGAACGAAGUGGCGAACGGGUGAGUAACGCGUAUUCAACCUGCCCCUCAGAGGGGGACAACAGUUGGAAACGGCUUCUAAUACCGCAUACUGAAGGAGGGGAUUGCGUCUGUUUAGCUCGUGGGCGGGGUAACGGCCCACGAAGGCGAUGAUCAGUAGCCGGUCUGGGAGGAUGAACGGCCACAUUGGGACUGAGACACGGCCCAGAGUCCUACGGGAGGCAGCAGUGGGGAAACGUCCGCAAUGGGCGAAAGUCUGACGGAGCAACGCCGAGGGAGUGAUGACGGCCUUCGGGUGGUAAAGCUCUGUUAAUCGGGACGCGGUACCGGAAUAGAAAGCAACGGCUAACUACGUGCCAGCAGCCGCGGUAAUAC